GACGAACGCUGGCGGCGUGCCUAAUACAUGCAAGUAGAACGCACAGUUUAUACCGUAGCUUGCUACACCAUAGACUGUGAGUUGCGAACGGGUGAGUAACGCGUAGGUAACCUGCCUGGUAGCGGGGGAUAACUAUUGGAAACGAUAGCUAAUACCGCAUAAUAUUGAUUAUUGCAUGAUAAUUGAUUGAAAGAUGCUAUUGCAUCACUACCAGAUGGACCUGCGUUGUAUUAGCUAGUAGGUGAGGUAACGGCUCACCUAGGCGACGAUACAUAGCCGACCUGAGAGGGUGCUCGGCCACACUGGGACUGAGACACGGCCCAGACUCCUACGGGAGGCAGCAGUAGGGAAUCUUCGGCAAUAGACGAAAGUCUGACCGAGCAACGCCGCGUGAGUGAAGAAGGUUUUCGGAUCGUAAAGCUCUGUUGUAAGAGAAGAACGGGUGUGAGAGUGGAAAGUUCACACUGUGACGGUAUCUUACCAGAAAGGGACGGCUAACUACGUG
This 505-nucleotide ribosomal RNA is filed under the name uncultured bacterium. RNAcentral describes it as "partial 16S ribosomal RNA". It matches the Rfam family "Bacterial small subunit ribosomal RNA", at positions 28 to 507 of the family's 1533-position model. The record is from RNAcentral.